Non-coding RNA from Triticum aestivum (bread wheat), 126 nucleotides. NCBI's taxonomy places the organism in Eukaryota, Viridiplantae, Streptophyta, Magnoliopsida, Poales, Poaceae. The record is from Rfam.
UUAGUACUCCCUCCGUCCGAAAAAACUUGUCCCUUAAAUGGAUGUAUCUAGCACCAAGUUAGUGGUAGAUACAUCAAUUUGAGGGACAAGCUUAGGACAAGCUUUUUUGGGUGGAGGAAGUAUUUA